AGCGAACGUUAGCGGCGGGCCUAACACAUGCAAGUCGAGCGAGAAAGUGGCUUCGGCCAUCAGUAAAGCGGCGGACGGGUGAGUAACACGUAGGUAAUCUUCCCUUGAGCGGGGGACAACGUUUCGAAAGGAACGCUAAUACCGCAUACGUUUCCAGGAGCUCUGGCUCUUGGAAGGAAAGCUAGGUCGCAAGAUCCGGCACUCGGAGGAGGAGCCUGCGUCGCAUCAGCUAGNGGGUGGGGUAAUGGCCUACCAAGGCGAAGACGCGUAGCUGGUCUGAGAGGAUGAUCAGCCACACUGGGACUGAGACACCGGCCCAGACUCC
RNAcentral lists this ribosomal RNA (325 nucleotides) under uncultured bacterium. RNAcentral's name for it is "bacterial SSU rRNA". It matches the Rfam family "Bacterial small subunit ribosomal RNA", at positions 29 to 339 of the family's 1533-position model. The record is from RNAcentral.